This 489-nucleotide ribosomal RNA is filed under the name uncultured Marinobacterium sp. RNAcentral's name for it is "bacterial SSU rRNA". It matches the Rfam family "Bacterial small subunit ribosomal RNA", at positions 357 to 838 of the family's 1533-position model. Lineage: Bacteria; Pseudomonadati; Pseudomonadota; Gammaproteobacteria; Oceanospirillales; Oceanospirillaceae. The record is from RNAcentral.
GGGAAUAUUGGACAAUGGGGGCAACCCUGAUCCAGCCAUGCCGCGUGUGUGAAGAAGGCCUUCGGGUUGUAAAGCACUUUCAGCUGUGAGGAAAGGCGAGUGGUUAAUACCCGCUUGCUGUGACGUUAACAGCAGAAGAAGGACCGGCUAACUCCGUGCCAGCAGCCGCGGUAAUACGGAGGGUCCGAGCGUUAAUCGGAAUUACUGGGCGUAAAGCGCGCGUAGGUGGUUCAGUCAGUCAGAUGUGAAAGCCCCGGGCUCAACCUGGGAACUGCACCUGAUACUGCUGAGCUAGAGUACGGUAGAGGGUAGUGGAAUUUCCGGUGUAGCGGUGAAAUGCGUAGAGAUCGGAAGGAACACCAGUGGCGAAGGCGACUACCUGGACCGAUACUGACACUGAGGUGCGAAAGCGUGGGUAGCAAACAGGAUUAGAUACCCUGGUAGUCCACGCCGUAAACGAUGUCAACUAGCCGUUGGGGGACUUGAUCC